This 253-nucleotide ribosomal RNA is filed under the name uncultured bacterium. RNAcentral's name for it is "partial 16S ribosomal RNA". It matches the Rfam family "Bacterial small subunit ribosomal RNA", at positions 524 to 776 of the family's 1533-position model. The record is from RNAcentral.
UACAGAGGUCCCAAGCGUUGUUCGGAUUCACUGGGCGUAAAGGGCGCGUAGGCGGCGACCCAAGUCAGAUGUGAAAGUCCUGGGCUUAACCUGGGGACUGCAUUUGAUACUGGGUUGCUUGAAUUCGGGAGAGGAUAGCGGAAUUCCCAGUGUAGAGGCGAAAUUCGUAGAUAUUGGGAAGAACACCGGUGGCGAAGGCGGCUAUCUGGACCGACAUUGACGCUGAGGCGCGAAAGCGUGGGGAGCAAACAGG